RNAcentral lists this transfer RNA (72 nucleotides) under Eschrichtius robustus (grey whale). It matches the Rfam family "tRNA". From Rfam's summary of the family: Transfer RNA (tRNA) molecules are approximately 80 nucleotides in length. Their secondary structure includes four short double-helical elements and three loops (D, anti-codon, and T loops). Lineage: Eukaryota; Metazoa; Chordata; Mammalia; Artiodactyla; Eschrichtiidae. The record is from Rfam by way of RNAcentral.
UCCCUGGUGGUCCAGUGGUUAGGACUUGGCACUUUCACUGCCGGGGCCCAGGUUCGAUACCUGGUUGGGGAA